CGUGUCUCCAGCCUUACUCACUGUGUCUCCCUGUAACCCUGCUCAGUUUUGGAGUCUAGUUUUCACCCUUUUGGAUUUCUGUUGGACAGCCUUUGUUUUGGGACUCUGUCAUCAGCCACUCAGUUUUUGUUUGCAAACAGAAGCAGCUUGAAACUUCCGUCUUAUCCAGUUCUGAAGUGGCUGUUCAGCAUGUCCUCAUGCAGUGGAGUUGUGCUGAGCAGAAAAGAAGAAGAUGAGAACAAGAAGAAACUCCUGACUCAUGGCUUCCUGUAUAAUCCCAAUGCAUUAAUCGACGCGGAGAGAAGCCUGAGCUGUGUUAGCUGAGGGAUUCCGUACAAGGUUGACGUAAACAUUACCACAGUCCAGCGCUGGCCGGGACCUGGUGUUUUUUAACGGCAGGUGCAUCUCUACGAGGGAGUUCCAUUUGGAUGGAAAAGUUAAUUUUGUGCGUCUCACUCUGGAGUUAUGUAUGUAUACUCCCUGAUUAAGAAAAAAAUGCAUGUCAGAAUACAUGAGAGGAUGAAGACGCCAUAGUUAAAUUCAUUUGGUUAAGGUUAGAGAAACAUUUCGGUUAUAGUUAAAAGAAACCAACCGUGACUAUAUGUAGGAAAACAGGACGCAAACAGCAACGUCUCCAACGUCACAGUACCUCAUCUUUCCAUCAAGCGUCGUGAUUCCUUUGUCUUUGUCACUUGGAUGUAAACAUAUGUAAUCUUUGGGCAUUUGCUGAAAAGACUGAUGCUGUGCCCACCUCCA
Long non-coding RNA from Micropterus dolomieu (smallmouth bass), 756 nucleotides. RefSeq lists it as uncharacterized. The record is from RefSeq and is a predicted model, not a curated record. Lineage: Eukaryota; Metazoa; Chordata; Actinopteri; Centrarchiformes; Centrarchidae. The transcript has 4 exons.